AACUCACAGAGAUUUGCUUGCCGCUGCCUCCUGAGUGCUGGGAUUAAAGAAGGCCAGUGUCCGGUUGUAAAGAUCACACACAGAAGACACAUUAGAAGAGUCCCUUCCUCAUCGGCAUGGGGUGUGUCCUGUGUGAGCUCCCUGAAUGUUGAUUGGAAUGGGAAGUCCUACUUGUAUUCCCUCCUGCCUGCUCCAUUCCUUUUGAGUGACAUGUCUGGGGUCAGGGCUGAGAGCAUGGGGGAGGAUGCAGACCUCAGAGUGGGAGAGUCACCCCAAGGCUCAACUAACACCAGAACCUCGUCCUUGGUGUCUCAGUGGGCAAGGCUGGGCUUGUCAUCUUGCCCAGCCUCUGGUGGAGGCAGCAUAGACUUGGUGACAGCUUCCUCGGAAGAGAUGAAUGAAGCAAUUGUGUACUUGGUGCAGAGAAGAUUCCAGAUGGAGGAGGUGUUUUCAAUGGCAAUAACCCGGAGAUGGAAUAUUUCAAUGAGUCAACAAACAGAGAUAUUGGCA
RNAcentral lists this long non-coding RNA (510 nucleotides) under Cricetulus griseus (Chinese hamster). Its description in RNAcentral is "lncRNA (ENSCGRG00015043425.1)". Lineage: Eukaryota; Metazoa; Chordata; Mammalia; Rodentia; Cricetidae. The record is from RNAcentral.